Molecule: ribosomal RNA, 1482 nt
Filed under: Salmonella enterica
Lineage: Bacteria; Pseudomonadati; Pseudomonadota; Gammaproteobacteria; Enterobacterales; Enterobacteriaceae
Description: bacterial SSU rRNA
Rfam family: Bacterial small subunit ribosomal RNA
Source: RNAcentral
GCUCAGAUUGAACGCUGGCGGCAGGCCUAACACAUGCAAGUCGAACGGUAACAGGAAGCAGCUUGCUGCUUUGCUGACGAGUGGCGGACGGGUGAGUAAUGUCUGGGAAACUGCCUGAUGGAGGGGGAUAACUACUGGAAACGGUGGCUAAUACCGCAUAACGUCGCAAGACCAAAGAGGGGGACCUUCGGGCCUCUUGCCAUCAGAUGUGCCCAGAUGGGAUUAGCUUGUUGGUGAGGUAACGGCUCACCAAGGCGACGAUCCCUAGCUGGUCUGAGAGGAUGACCAGCCACACUGGAACUGAGACACGGUCCAGACUCCUACGGGAGGCAGCAGUGGGGAAUAUUGCACAAUGGGCGCAAGCCUGAUGCAGCCAUGCCGCGUGUAUGAAGAAGGCCUUCGGGUUGUAAAGUACUUUCAGCGGGGAGGAAGGUGUUGUGGUUAAUAACCGCAGCAAUUGACGUUACCCGCAGAAGAAGCACCGGCUAACUCCGUGCCAGCAGCCGCGGUAAUACGGAGGGUGCAAGCGUUAAUCGGAAUUACUGGGCGUAAAGCGCACGCAGGCGGUCUGUCAAGUCGGAUGUGAAAUCCCCGGGCUCAACCUGGGAACUGCAUUCGAAACUGGCAGGCUUGAGUCUUGUAGAGGGGGGUAGAAUUCCAGGUGUAGCGGUGAAAUGCGUAGAGAUCUGGAGGAAUACCGGUGGCGAAGGCGGCCCCCUGGACAAAGACUGACGCUCAGGUGCGAAAGCGUGGGGAGCAAACAGGAUUAGAUACCCUGGUAGUCCACGCCGUAAACGAUGUCUACUUGGAGGUUGUGCCCUUGAGGCGUGGCUUCCGGAGCUAACGCGUUAAGUAGACCGCCUGGGGAGUACGGCCGCAAGGUUAAAACUCAAAUGAAUUGACGGGGGCCCGCACAAGCGGUGGAGCAUGUGGUUUAAUUCGAUGCAACGCGAAGAACCUUACCUGGUCUUGACAUCCACAGAACUUUCCAGAGAUGGAUUGGUGCCUUCGGGAACUGUGAGACAGGUGCUGCAUGGCUGUCGUCAGCUCGUGUUGUGAAAUGUUGGGUUAAGUCCCGCAACGAGCGCAACCCUUAUCCUUUGUUGCCAGCGGUCCGGCCGGGAACUCAAAGGAGACUGCCAGUGAUAAACUGGAGGAAGGUGGGGAUGACGUCAAGUCAUCAUGGCCCUUACGACCAGGGCUACACACGUGCUACAAUGGCGCAUACAAAGAGAAGCGACCUCGCGAGAGCAAGCGGACCUCAUAAAGUGCGUCGUAGUCCGGAUUGGAGUCUGCAACUCGACUCCAUGAAGUCGGAAUCGCUAGUAAUCGUGGAUCAGAAUGCCACGGUGAAUACGUUCCCGGGCCUUGUACACACCGCCCGUCACACCAUGGGAGUGGGUUGCAAAAGAAGUAGGUAGCUUAACCUUCGGGAGGGCGCUUACCACUUUGUGAUUCAUGACUGGGGUGAAGUCUAAAAGG